Molecule: ribosomal RNA, 564 nt
Filed under: uncultured Glomeromycotina
Lineage: Eukaryota; Fungi; Glomeromycota
Description: SSU rRNA
Rfam family: Eukaryotic small subunit ribosomal RNA
Source: RNAcentral
UUGGAGGGCAAGUCUGGUGCCAGCAGCCGCGGUAAUUCCAGCUCCAAUAGCGUAUAUUAAAGUUGUUGCAGUUAAAAAGCUCGUAGUUGAAUUUCGGGAUCAGAUUGUCGGUCGUGCCUCGGUACGCACUGGCAUUAUUGGUUCCUACCUUCUGAAGAACCGCGAUGUCAUUAAUUUGGUGUCGUGGGGAAUCAGGACUGUUACUUUGAAAAAAUUAGAGUGUUUAAAGCAGGCGCACGCUUGAAUACAUUAGCAUGGAAUAAUGAAAUAGGACGUUUGAUUCUAUUUUGUUGGUUUCUAGGAUCGACGUAAUGAUUAAUAGGGAUAGUUGGGGGCAUUAGUAUUCAAUUGUCAGAGGUGAAAUUCUUGGAUUUAUUGAAGACUAACUACUGCGAAAGCAUUUGCCAAGGAUGUUUUCAUUAAUCAAGAACGAAAGUUAGGGGAUCGAAGACGAUCAGAUACCGUCGUAGUCUUAACCAUAAACUAUGCCGACUAGGGAUCGGAUGAUGUUAAUUUUAUAAUGACUCAUUCGGCGCCUUACGGGAAACCAAAGUGUUUGGGUUC